CACCUGGAUCACCCAUUUGACUUGGAUGAGCUGGGCAAAGCUAUUAAAGAAAUGGCAGCAGAGAAGGCACCGGGCCCGGACGGUUUCAUUGGGAUUUUCUUCAAAAGAUGUUGGCACACGAUUAAGGUGGAUUUGCUGAAUGCCCUUAACCAGCUCUCUGCCCUUGAUGCUAGAAACUGGAACCUGUUGAACUCUGCAUUCAUUGUCCUAAUCCCGAAGAAAGAAAAUGCUCUACGCGCUGCUGAUUAUCGCCCAAUAAGUCUUUCCCAUAGUGUUGCUAAGAUCCUGGGAAAACUCGUUGCCAAUAGACUGGCGCCAACUAUGCAGCAUCUAAUAUCUAUGAGCCAAAGUGCCUUCCUCAAAGGAAGAUCGAUCCAAGACAAUUUUCUGUAUGUUCAAAAUCUCGUCCAGAGUUUACAUAGAGCCAAGAAAGGGGCAAUCUUCCUGAAGCUGGAUAUUGCGAAGGCA
This 468-nucleotide ribosomal RNA is filed under the name Triticum aestivum (bread wheat). Its description in RNAcentral is "partial small subunit ribosomal RNA". Lineage: Eukaryota; Viridiplantae; Streptophyta; Magnoliopsida; Poales; Poaceae. The record is from RNAcentral.